GUUCUCUUUCUCAAAUUUAUUCAUCUCUCUCUAGUCUCUCGGUCUCCUGCACUCUUCCAGACGCAUUCUCUCUCUCAGUUUCCCUUCCGGCCUCCUUUCCUCUUCAUUCCAGGCUUUCCAGCCCCUAGCUUCUAAAUUUCAGAGUGCUAAUAUGGUAACGUGAAUUUGUUGUGGUAUGAAUUCUAUUGUCAUCAACUAGGUAACGUGAAUUUGUGAUGGUAUCAGACCCUAAGCUUAUGCCAAUCGUGAAUUUGUGAUGCAACAAGGCAAGGAAGUCAUUAAACAGACCGCCUAUUGGGCAAGUCCUGGACAAUCUCAUCUACAAUUACAGUCUGACAUUUUGUGGGAAGGGUUUGGCUUAGUAAGCCAAAAAGUUCUCUUCAAACUACACUUGUAUUUUAAAUUUUGGAUUUGUGAAGAAUUUGAAAUUAGUGAUAACAGCAAAGCGGCUUUCCAUUGGUUAUGAUAACCCAGAAUUGCAGUUACUGGGACUUUCU
This is a long non-coding RNA of Pyrus x bretschneideri (Chinese white pear), 497 nucleotides long. RefSeq lists it as uncharacterized. The transcript has 2 exons. Lineage: Eukaryota; Viridiplantae; Streptophyta; Magnoliopsida; Rosales; Rosaceae. The record is from RefSeq and is a predicted model, not a curated record.